Molecule: long non-coding RNA, 2072 nt
Organism: Phyllopteryx taeniolatus (common seadragon)
Lineage: Eukaryota; Metazoa; Chordata; Actinopteri; Syngnathiformes; Syngnathidae
Exons: 3
Source: RefSeq, a predicted model, not a curated record
GAGAACACAUCUUAAUCAGAAAAAAAUGAAGCAGGAGACGCUAAAAGAAAGAAGAAACACAAGGAUGAAGGAAGACAGGACGUGGGCAAGGAGAGCCAAAGUCGACGCACUUUUCAGCAUUUUAUGGAACAGGACGAACUGUCAAACACACAAAUAGAAAAACAGAACACUUAUGACACAAGCCCCUGGGCGUCCCUCACUAAAGUCACACACCCAAUGCAGUAACUACACCUGAUAAAACCAGUUUAUAUCUUUAAAUUUGCUUAUUAUGGUUUUCUUUGUCUUCUUUAUUAAAAACACAGAACAAAAAAACGGCGGUGUUUUUUCGGGGGCUGCAACGGAUUAAUAGCAUUUCAAUUCAUGUCAAUGGAAAAAAUGUAUUUGCUGCACAAGUAAAUUUCAUUGCAAGUUUGGUCACAAAAUUAAUCGUACUCGUAAGUCAAGAUACCACUGUGUCACAUCUUGAGAAGGAAGGUAAAAAUAGAAACAAGAAAUGAGUCUAAUUCUGACCCUCCCUCCAGGAAGUGCUUGUUAUCUUAAGUGCAGCCGUGCAUCCCGAAAGGUGCCCACCCACCAUGCCAGGCCGGUCAGAAACUGUGAAUAGGAGUCUGUGGGCACUGGUCACGGUGGUCCCGACAUCCAGCCGCUGCUCCCGUUAACACCCGCAGGAGAUCUUUUCAACACGUAAGCAACUGAUACACAACUAGACCAUCUGCUGAGGUGCUGAUGAUGGCUCCCAUUUCCCUCAGAAUCUGGUUCUCUUCCUCAACAAGGGGGUUGCGGCUUGCCCAAACGCUACAGUUGUCGCUUAACCAUCCUCGACAAAGUCCAUCCAUCCAUUCUCUAUACCGCUUGUCCUCAUUAGCAUCACGGGGGAGCUGCAGCCUAUCCCAGCUGACUUUAAGCGAGAGGUGGGGUACACCCUGAACUAUCUGCCAGCACCUAAAGACAAAUAACAAUUCCUACUCACAAAGCGAGUGUUAAAGUCUUCAAUGAACCUACAGUAAGAAGCAUUUACUGUACAUGUGGUGGGUAGCCGAAGUACCCGUAGAAAAUUCAAGCAACCCUAGGGAGAACAUCCGAACUUCACACAGGAAGUCCGGAAACAAGAUAUAAAGCCACAACAAUUCGGUCGCCAUGUUGCCAUGAAGUUAAAAAAGAAACAAAAAAAUGGCUUAGAAAUCACAUGAGAAUGCUAAGAGACGCCGAUCUAAAAUGCCCAAAAAUUAUUUGUUGAAUUGACGAUAGAGUGCCAGUUCAUACAAACAUUACAGCGAUGCUAAGACGCCAUGCAAAAAUGCUGCACUGUAGUCUAUCGCUAACCUACGCUAACGCAGUAGUAAGCUCCUGAUUACAGAAGAUAUUUGUGUGAAAAACACUUAUGUAGCGCUCUUCAAGCGACUCAAAGACGCUUAAUUGCAUGCAUUAUUCAUUCACUUCACAGUCAGAGUCACACCCUGGUGGUGGUAAGCUACUUGUGUAGCCACGGAAACGUGGCUGCCAUUCUGCGCCUACGACCACCACCAAACAUCCAACCACAUUCAUUCACAGGCAAUGUGGGUUAGGAGGAUGUCAUUAUAAAACAAGCCAGUGAAAAACUGCAUGGCGCUAACUGAGUCUGCCUUCUACAGCCACGUGACCAUGUAUUCUUAAACAAGAAGCACGGUGAACUAGUGGUUAGCACAUCUCCCUCACAGUUCUGAGGUUGAGGGUUCAAAUCUCAGCUCCGGCCUUCCUUGUGUGGUGUUUAUAUGUUUUCCCCCGUGCUCAUGUGGGUUUUCGCCAGCGUCCUCCCACAUUCCAAAAACACGCAUGUUAGACGCGAGAAGACUAAAUUGUCCAUACGCACGAGUGUGGAUGUCAAUGGGUGUCUAUGUGCGCCCGCCUCUCACUCACACGUGAGGACAAAAAUGGAUGGACAGAUUACUUAAUCAAUCCUGUCUUCAUUUCACAUCUGAAUGUCCAGUCCUCACAUCAUAUGAUCAUAUCUUGACCUCCACAGCACAGAAGCACAUCCGGUAAUUUGUGUUGUCGUUUUUUUUUUUUUUUUUUGAAUGACUGCACGUAGUCUA